AGUGAACGCUGGCGGUAGGCCUAACACAUGCAAGUCGAACGGCAGCACAGUAAGAGCUUGCUCUUACGGGUGGCGAGUGGCGGACGGGUGAGGAAUACAUCGGAAUCUACUUUUUCGUGGGGGAUAACGUAGGGAAACUUACGCUAAUACCUCAUACGACCUACGGGUGAAAGCAGGGGAUCUUCGGACCUUGCGCGAUUGAAUGAGCCGAUGUCGGAUUAGCUAGUUGGCGGGGUAAAGGCCCACCAAGGCGACGAUCCGUAGCUGGUCUGAGAGGAUGAUCGGCCACACUGGAACUGAGACACGGUCCAGACUCCUACGGGAGGCAGCAGUGGGGAAUAUUGGACAAUGGGCGAAAGCCUGAUCCAGCCAUACCGCGUGGGUGAAGAAGGCCUUCGGGUUGUAAAGCCCUUUUGUUGGGAAAGAAAAGCAGCAGGUUAAUACCCCGAUGUUCUGACGGUACCCAAAGAAUAAGCACCGGCUAACUUCGUG
This 492-nucleotide ribosomal RNA is filed under the name uncultured bacterium. Its description in RNAcentral is "partial 16S ribosomal RNA". It matches the Rfam family "Bacterial small subunit ribosomal RNA", at positions 29 to 507 of the family's 1533-position model. The record is from RNAcentral.